This 434-nucleotide ribosomal RNA is filed under the name uncultured bacterium. RNAcentral describes it as "bacterial SSU rRNA". It matches the Rfam family "Bacterial small subunit ribosomal RNA", at positions 73 to 507 of the family's 1533-position model. The record is from RNAcentral.
UUGGUUUUCGGACCAAGAGACCGGCGCACGGGUGCGUGACGCGUAUGCAAUCUACCUUUUGCAGAGGGAUAGCCCAGAGAAAUUUGGAUUAAUACCUCAUAGUAUAGUACUUUGGCAUCAAGGAACUAUUAAAGUCACAACGGCAAAAGAUGAGCAUGCGUCCCAUUAGCUAGUUGGUAAGGUAACGGCUUACCAAGGCUACGAUGGGUAGGGGUCCUGAGAGGGAGAUCCCCCACACUGGUACUGAGACACGGACCAGACUCCUACGGGAGGCAGCAGUGAGGAAUAUUGGACAAUGGGCGCAAGCCUGAUCCAGCAAUGCCGCGUGCAGGAUGACGGUCCUAUGGAUUGUAAACUGCUUUUAUACAGGAAGAAACACUCCGACGUGUCGGAGCUUGACGGUACUGUAAGAAUAAGGAUCGGCUAACUCCGUG